AGAGGCGAAUGCCGAUAAGUUUACCUUUUAUCUCCUCUCCCACCUCAUUCAAGGAAUAUAAAAGGUUGAUCUUUGAUUUGAUGGUUUUUGGAAUGUCAAAAUGCGGUUCAUCGGACCUCGCCAUGGGGGAAAAUUUCACCAAACAAUUGCUGUACGUACAGCACGUCGAUAAGGAAAAGGACUCAACCAGUAUAAUAUCAGAGCAAUCCCUCCGAGAAUAUUUGUUGGUAAACCACAAGGUAUAUUCCGAAUCUAAUUUUGCAGAGUACUUGAAGAAUCCUGUAGCAAAUGUCGACAUUCUGAAAUCAUAUUUAGAACAUAAAAUCAUCAAUGUCCAAGUUUACUCCAAUCCUCUCCGAGAAUCUCUCAAAUCGCCCGUCGCGAUUCACGCUUUCGUCGUUUUCCAAACGAGUAACAGUAACUGGAAUACGAAUGAAGAGAUGUGGUAUUCCAUCGAAAAAAAAAACGGGCAGUACAUAGUUCUGCAACAAUCACCAUUUGAAGAGGACGUCACACAGAAAUUAUACGACGCUGAAAAGAAGGAACCUGUCAGAAGACUUUGGCCAGUCAUACCAAAAAAAAGUGCUAGGGGCAAUUAUAAGGCCCUUGAAUAUUUAUUGCGAGCCAUUUGGGAAACCAAUCAGCUAACUACAAAAUAUCAUCUUCUGUUUGCGAAUUGCCACAAUUUCGCAACUUUUGUAUUCGAAAAAUCAAACGACGGAGGGGAAAAGUGGUCGACGCCGAUAAGUGCUUUCAUCGACUCACCGAAUUGGAUUGAGAAAUAAGAAAAUCAAGUCCAUCAGCCCAGCGGAAUUAGUUAAAUACAACUGGAUUGAAAAAGACGCCAAAUUCGACUAUUACAAAGCUAUGUUAGAGGGAAGGUGGGAAUACUUUAAAGACCUUGCCGGUAAUUUGACAAGCGAAUCUUUGAACAGCGUCGACUCCCAAGGCUACACAUUACUCGAAUGGGCCACCGUUUUCUCCACACCCAAUUGGCCAAUCGACCAGUUUUUAAUGGAAAAAGGCGCCAAAAUUCAAACAGACGAAGGAACGUUUCGUCGGAAUGUUUUUUUCAUCGCCCUGCAGUAUUUUCCUUCAACUAAAGAGUUGAAAAGCAAAUCUUACCUCUUGUCAUUUAAGGGCAUUGAUAUUCAUGGCGUGAACACAACGGGCGACACGGCAAUGCACUUGGCUUUGUAUGGAGAAAAAUGGAACGUUGCCAAAAAGAUUCUCAAGGAAUUUCCAAAUUAUGACGUCAACGUCACCAAUUCUUGUGGGCAUCUUCCAUUUUAUCUAGCUGUAAAAUUUAAAUGUAAAAGGGUUUUGCUAAAAACGAUUCUAGAUAGAACCAAUCCGGAAAAUCUCAAGAAACCCAUCGAACCCUAUGGAGAAGAACCCUGCUCUUCACGUCGCAAUCAAGGACAAGUCCACAACUAUAGUAGUGGAAUUGCUCAAACACAAGGACGUGGACGCGAACUUAAAAGAUGUUAACAACUACACAGCACUACAUCCUCCCACAAAGAUGCUGUUAGGCAACGCAGAGGCAAAAAUUACUAUCGUGAAUAAAUCCAGUUUGUUGAUGGCACCGAUCAACAUGGUGGGAGCAUACAAGGACCGGUUUUUUUUUAGGAAACAGUGAUUUAAAUCUGUUGAAUACCAAGUUGUAUUCAUCGAGGAAAUAACCUGGAAAAAACCCAUGCAAACCAGUCGCCCUAGCCAAAAAAAAAAAAAAAAAAAGAAAAAGGUCUUACAUUUCUAUUAUCGACGUGCGUGAUAUCCCGAAGCUACUCACGCUCAAGACAUCUGAUGCAGUUUCAUCCGUAUAAAAGGAUCCACUUCGACUCGAGAUUCAAACCAAGAAACAUCAGUUGAUCUGUGUGUUCCAUCUCCUUCCUACAGUCUGCAAAAUAAAAUGAUGAAUGUCUUGUCAAUUUUCCUGCUCAUGGCUGCCGUGUCUCUGACAACCGUGUCCGCUCGAUUCUGGAAUGUAGGCGACAACGGAUUGGUUCGCUGGGACUACAAUUGUCAUUUUGUUGGCAAUGUCAUCGACAACAAGCCCAGCUCUGGCGAGCAAUGCGGUGGCAUCUGCAUCGCCAACUCUCAAUGCACCCACUUUACUCACGCGGGCGGUUACUGUUACCUGAAGAGACACACCGGCCCUUGGAGAGAAACCGAUGAAACUGCAAACACUUGCGGUUUCAUCCCCGGCCGAAGCGCGCAGAACGAACGAAAAUGAACGCAAUCGUCACGAAUUUCGGCUACGACAAACGACUGAAAAAAAAGGAAAUUAUAAUACCGUUUAAAAUAUUUGAUCAAUAGCUGAAAAUAAAGCAUCUUCUGCAUGACAUUGGCAAAUACAUUCUGGUUAGCUCAA
This 2374-nucleotide long non-coding RNA is filed under the name Daphnia pulex (common water flea). Its description in RNAcentral is "uncharacterized LOC124204747, transcript variant X6". Lineage: Eukaryota; Metazoa; Arthropoda; Branchiopoda; Diplostraca; Daphniidae. The record is from RNAcentral.